AUGUAGAUGGAAUGAUGUGGAAACAUGUCAGUCUUCGGGCCGUCUACAAGGUGCUGCAUGGCUGUCGUCAGCUCGUGCCGUGAGGUGUUGGGUUAAGUCCCGCAACGAGCGCAACCCCCAUCUUUAGUUGCCAGCGGGUUAAGCCGGGGACUCUAAAGAAACUGCCAGCGCAAGCUGAGAGGAAGGCGGGGACGACGUCAAGUCAUCACGGCCCUUACGUCCUGGGCCACACACGUGCUACAAUGGUAGGUACAGAGGGCAGCUACCCCGCGAGGGGAUGCGAAUCUCGAAAGCCUAUCUCAGUUCGGAUUGGAGUCUGCAACUCGACUCCAUGAAGCUGGAAUCGCUAGUAAUCGCGCAUCAGCCAUGGCGCGGUGAAUACGUUCCCGGGCCUUGUACACACCGCCCGUCAAACAAUGGAAGCCGGGGGUACCUGAAGUCGGUAACCGCAAGGAGCUGCCUAGGGUAAAUCUGGUAACUGGUGUUAAGUCGUAACAAGGUA
This 502-nucleotide ribosomal RNA is filed under the name uncultured Flexibacter sp. Its description in RNAcentral is "bacterial SSU rRNA". It matches the Rfam family "Bacterial small subunit ribosomal RNA", at positions 985 to 1498 of the family's 1533-position model. The record is from RNAcentral. Lineage: Bacteria; Pseudomonadati; Bacteroidota; Cytophagia; Cytophagales; Flexibacteraceae.